Vigna unguiculata (cowpea) is the source of this 2760-nucleotide long non-coding RNA. The record is from RefSeq and is a predicted model, not a curated record. Lineage: Eukaryota; Viridiplantae; Streptophyta; Magnoliopsida; Fabales; Fabaceae.
UGUGUAUGUUGUAAUUGAUUUUAGCGAUAUUUCACCGAUCCAUGUCUUGUUUUUUAUAUUUCACUGAUGCGUUUGUAACAUUCGUGAAAGGGAACACAUGCCGUUUAGGUAGAUCACACAGAAUACACAUUCCGUUUAGGAUUUUUUUUUUUACUAAAACGGUUUGUGAAAGCCGUUUCCUAGGUAGAUGAAACGGAAUACACAUUCCGUUUAGGGUUUUAUUUAUUUUUGUUUUCUGAAACGGUUUGUGAAAUCCAUUUCGUAGGAAUUUUUUUUUGUGAAACGGUUUAUGAAAUCCAUUUCCUACAUAGAUGAAACGGAUUUCACAUUCAGUUUAGUGUUUUUUUUUUUUUUCUGAAACUUUGUGAAAUCCGUUUUCUACAUAGUAUAUUGCUUGUGCUUUUGCAAAGGUAAAAAGAACAUUACAAAGGGAGUUUAGGUUUAGGUUCUACUUCUAUUCUUUAGUGUUGGAGAAGAGUAAUGAAUUAUUUAUAUUCUUGGAAUGUUCUCUACGGAUGCCUCAUAUUGCCACAACUUAUGCCGCAGUUAAUACACUUAUUACUUUGGGUGGUUAGAAAUCCCUCGCAUCAAUUAAAUAGGUGGUCAGUUUAUGUGCUCAACGCAAGUUUUUUUAUCAUAUUAUGUUCCAUUAUUUAUUUGAUGGAGCUAGUUUUUAUUUGUGUGGAACUGAUUGGUUUGGUACUUUGAACAUAUUAUUCUCAAAGAUAAAUUGCAUGGGUUUCUGCGAAGGAUGAAGCAGCCAAAUGGGGGGUUCAGGAUGCAUGAUGAUGGAGAAAUUGAUGUUCGAGCUUGCUACACUGCAAUCUCUCUAUUGGCUUGAGCUUAAGGAAUUAGGCAAGAAUAUGGGAAAUGGAUAUUCAUCAAAAGUUUAGUUGAAUUGAUUAGAUAAGUGUCGUGAAGUAUUUUUGGUACUCUAACUAGGAAAAUGGGGAAGCAAGUUAUAUUGUGUAAACUUUGUAUAUAAAUGUGAGUAUUAGUGAAAUAACAGAAUUCAGAAAAUAUUAUUUUCCACAUGGUAUGCAAGCUGCAUUAACCCAAUGGAAUUCACAUACACCAUCACCAAAGCUUCCUUACCAGUUAUUUACAACUCAUGAACGAAGGGUUAUUGCUCAACAAAUCGUGUCGAAUAAUACCCCUUUUGCAUUUGGAAUAAUCUUGGAUGAUACCAUUUUUUUUUUAUAAAUCUGACUUCCUCACUGGUGUUACAUCAAAACCUUUUGAGUGAGGAUCCUCCUCUUGAAUUUUAAUCAUGUUUUGGCAUAUGUUCGCGAGGAUCACAACAAUGACACACUAAGCACCUCAAGCUAUCUGACACUGCAUUUUUGUCCUCCUGGACCUACUCAAUCUUCAAAAGAAAAAAAUUCAUCCAACAAAACUGACACCUUCUUCACAUGUACUUAUUGUGGUGACAGUGAUACUGAAAGCAAUGUUGGUACAAUAUUAUUGGCUACACUGAAUGGUGACAUUUAUCAACAACACUACAAAGAAGAUCAACCAUGUUGUUGUAAUCACGAAAAACAAGAAUCCUCCUCUUCCAAUGUCAAAUCUUGCGCAUGCAACAAUGGUAAGUCCUAUGCACAUCUUUCUGUGAACAGAACUUGGAUUACUCAUCAGUGCUAUUGAUCACAUGACAAAUGGGUGAAAUCAACUGUAAGUUGAGUUCCGUGUUAUAUGAAUUUACAAGAACAAUAUAUAUCAAGAAAAUAUUUACAAAUCUUUUAGCCAUAAGAUUUUAAGCAGAAGAUAUCAAAGAUUAAUUAUUGGAAGACUUAUUUACUUGUCUCACACAGUUCCUUAAAACGAUAGAAGACAAUCAUAUCAUAUCAAUUACAAGUAGCCCAGUACAACAUGAAUGUAGUGAGCAUGGGAGGUGGAUCACCACUCCAUCAAAUAUCACGCAGGCAAAGAUCGUUUUCCAUUUGUUGUUUCACAAGAUCAAUUGUUCUUAAAAAGAUUGUGUUUCGGAAAGUUUCCCAUUCCUCACUUCACGAGUUGGGUAUGACCGAUAUAUACUUCCCACACAAAGUGGAGUGGUGGCGUAAAACAAGAAUCUUGGUGAAAAUAUAUAUAUAUAUAGCUAGUUAUUCAUUUUAUUUGAUUGAGAUCAUUACGGAGUAACUUGGUACUUUAAUUGGUGAAAUCGGGAAACAAACUAUUCUAGAAAUUAAAUAACACGUUCAGAAAAGUUAUUCAGAAAAAAUCUCAACCGCUUUAAAUUAAUUCCAUUCACAUGGGGUGUGGGAGACUUCCCAUAAACUUCCGUCUAGAUUAUGCUGCGAUUCUUUCCACACUUACUCGUCGCCCUUUUUUCUAAUUUCCUACAAUACAGACACUGCCUAGUGCCUUGGCCUUUUCGCAUGAGUUUGGCCGAAAUACAAAGAACAAACAAAUGCAACCAGCAACUUAUUACACAUAAAAAUAAGUUGGCGUGCGCACCUACUUGUGGGUUCGGUUUUCAAACUCUCAGAAAAAGAGGAUCAACGUGUAUUAAAUAUUGAUUUGAUAAGGAUUAGUUUAAGGGCAGAUAGAAAGAGAAUAGUCCAAUAUGACAAAAAGAGCAUAAUGCAUCCAUCCCUGCGGCUCGAUAAAUUCACACCAUUCCAAAGAUGUUAGGUCAAUCAUGUUCACCCAAACAUCUCAUGUCCAGCCUGUACUCUUUAUACCAUUUAUGUUCUUAUUCGCAGCUCUCAACGGUUGAAUUCCAAGGUGCAGACAGAAAUUCAAUUCAACACAACGUUU